UCAGUUUGAUUCUGACUGAAAAAUUAACCUUUAGCCAACCAACAUACAUGUAAAAUAUCAUAUCCCCGCACUCACCACUAUCUAGAAGAUUUAAUUCAUGCAUCAAGAUUCUCCCUAAUGCAAUAGAGCGCCACAGUAGAUAACACUUUUCAAUUUGAGAAAACAAGAAAAGAGUAUGGCCUAAGGGCUGGCAAAAUUCGUGCCAGCUGCCGCGGUUAGACGAUAAGCCCAAGUUAAUAUAAUAUAAACUAAAUUAAUGAUAGAUUAAAUAAUAACAAAAGUCUAAUUUUAAAAAUUCCUGACUCAUAUCUAUCUAAUAAUAAUGAAAUCAUGAACUAAAACAUGGAUUAGAUACCCAUCUAUUCAUGACAUAAACCAAAGUUGAAUAUUACGAACAAUAGUUUAAAAUUCAAAGAUUUUGGCGGUGUCUUAUAAAACCAGGGGAACCUGUCUCAUAACUCGAUAAUCCACGCAUAUGCAACCUCCUCUUGAUACUCAGCAUGUGUACUGCCGUUGUAAGCAUACCUCUAAAAGAACAAGUAUGCCGCUAUGAUUAACCCAACUCAUAUACAUCAGGUCAAAGUGCAGCCAAUAAGGAGGUGGUGAUGGGUUACAACCCUAAAACAGAGCAUCAACUAAGAAAUAAAAAAUCUUACGAAAGUGGACUUGGCCGUAAUCAAUUUACAAGUUAAAAAAAUGAAUAUAUAUCUAAGACAUGCACACAUCGCCCGUCACUCUAUCCUAAAGGUUAGAUAAGUCGUAACAAAGUAGGUGUAAUGGAAAUUGCGCCUGU
This 793-nucleotide ribosomal RNA is filed under the name Megascolecidae sp. BS2. RNAcentral describes it as "12S ribosomal RNA". Lineage: Eukaryota; Metazoa; Annelida; Clitellata; Crassiclitellata; Megascolecidae. RNAcentral also lists the same sequence under 1 other name. The record is from RNAcentral.